CCAACCUAUGUUAACCCCUCCCCGAAAAGGGUCACCCAGUUCUUACAUGGCCCUACCUCCCAAAGGAAAAGACAAAAUCACCUAAAAAUUUGGGGAAAAAGACAAAACAAAAGCACAAAACUAAUCCACACCUAAAACCCUCGCAAUUACACACUAACACGAGGACCUCCUCGCAAAAACGCCCCCAUUAAAUCCCCCAUCCCCGCCCGUCGUCUUCUUCCUCCUCCUCCCCACACUCGCAUCGCGUCGCAUCGCAAGCGCGACCGACCAACCAGCCAGCCAGCCAAGCAAACCAAGCCAAGAAACACCAAGGAGCCUCGAGCCUUCCAAAACAAGCCAAAGAUUUAUUUCCCGAGCGCGCGGGAUGCUGUGAACCUGCCCAUGGCACCGCCACAGGAGCGCGACUACAUCNNN
This 414-nucleotide long non-coding RNA is filed under the name Oryza brachyantha (malo sina). RNAcentral's name for it is "long non-coding RNA (OBRA_LNC001675)". The record is from RNAcentral. Lineage: Eukaryota; Viridiplantae; Streptophyta; Magnoliopsida; Poales; Poaceae.